Molecule: long non-coding RNA, 219 nt
Filed under: Elaeis guineensis (African oil palm)
Lineage: Eukaryota; Viridiplantae; Streptophyta; Magnoliopsida; Arecales; Arecaceae
Description: long non-coding RNA (EGUI_LNC011712)
Source: RNAcentral
UCAUACCAAUCUAAUAUGAGUAUAUUUGUUGUGGGAGUGUAGCUUUAGUCCCAUAUUACUUAUGAGUCAAGAGGAGUAUGGCUUAUAUGAAAUGUGACCUUCUCUCUCCCAUGAGGUGUCUUUUAACAAACAAAACUAUAAGAUCCAAAAUAACUCAUACAGCCCCUAAGCUGUAGGCCGUAGAUCAAAGCAAAUAAUACUUCAUGCAUAUGGAAGUGA